Molecule: ribosomal RNA, 826 nt
Filed under: uncultured bacterium
Lineage: Bacteria
Description: bacterial SSU rRNA
Rfam family: Bacterial small subunit ribosomal RNA
Source: RNAcentral
GGCGACGGGUGAGUAGCACGUGGGUAACCUACCCUUAGAUUUGGGAUAACUCCGCGAAAGCAGGGCUAAUACUGAAUGAUAUUCCGAUUCCCAAGGGAGUCGGAAUCAAAGGUGGCCUCUGCAUGCAAGCUAUCAUCAAAGGAUGGGCCCGCGUACCAUUAGCUAGUUGGUAGGGUAAUAGCCUACCAAGGCGACGAUGGUUAGCUGGUCUGAGAGGAUGGCCAGCCACACUGGAACUGAGACACGGUCCAGACUCCUACGGGAGGCAGCAGUGGGGAAUCUUGCGCAAUGGGGGAAACCUUGACGCAGCAACGCCGCGUGGGUGAUGAAGGCCUUCGGGUCGUAAAGCCCUGUCAGGUGGGAAGAAACGUAUCGGUGUUAAUACCGCCGAUAUUUGACGGUACCACCGGAGGAAGCACCGGCUAACUCCGUGCCAGCAGCCGCGGUAAUACGGAGGGUGCAAGCGUUGUUCGAAAUUACUGGGCGUAAAGCGCGUGUAAGGCGGUCGGCAAGUUAGAUGUGAAAGCCUUCCGCUUAACGGAAGGAAGUGCAUUUAAUACUACCCGGCUGGAGUACGGGAGAGGAGAGUGGAAUUCCCGGUGUAGAGGUGAAAUUCGUAGAUAUCGGGGGGGAACACCAGUGGCGAAGGACGGCUCUCUGGUCCCGAUACUGACGCUGAGACGCGAAAGCGUGGGAGCAAACAGGGAUUAGCAUACCCUGGUAGUCCACGCCGUAAACGAUGGGCACUAGGUAUAGGAGGUAUUGACCCAUUCUGUGCCGAAGUAAACGAAUUAAGUGCCCCGCCUGGGGAGUACGACCGCAAGGU